RNAcentral lists this ribosomal RNA (244 nucleotides) under uncultured bacterium. RNAcentral describes it as "partial 16S ribosomal RNA". It matches the Rfam family "Bacterial small subunit ribosomal RNA", at positions 531 to 774 of the family's 1533-position model. The record is from RNAcentral.
GUGGCAAGCGUUGUCCGGAUUUAUUGGGCGUAAAGCGAGUGCAGGCGGUUCCAUAAGUCUGAUGUUGAAGCCUUCUGCUCAAACGGAGAAAUGCAUCAGAAACUGUUGAACUUGAGUGCAGAAGAGGAGAGUGGAACUCCAUGUGUAGCGGUGGAAUGCGUAGAUAUAUGGAAGAACACCAGUGGCGAAGGCGGCUCUCUGGUCUGCAACUGACGCUGAGGCUCGAAAGCAUGGGUAGCGAACA